This 1052-nucleotide long non-coding RNA is filed under the name Rhinopithecus bieti (black snub-nosed monkey). RNAcentral's name for it is "lncRNA (ENSRBIG00000046305.1)". Lineage: Eukaryota; Metazoa; Chordata; Mammalia; Primates; Cercopithecidae. The record is from RNAcentral.
AUGUUCGCCUGGCACCGGCGUCACGUGAAGUCUGAAGUCACUCUUACCCAGUUACAUUUGACAGAGGAGAAAAUUAAAGCUCAGAAAGGAUACCGCUGGCUUUGCUCCAUCCCUUUGGCAAGACAGCACACCCAGAGCUGGAGUAUGCUGCUCAUUUGGGAAGGGGAGAUGUCCUGGGCCCAGGGUUUGGAAAUGUCUUCUUGGACAAGCUUAAGCCGGUCUGUUGCCACUGGAGAAGAAAUGUAUUCUUGGGUGCCCCAGGCAAAAGAUCAGAUAUCAAAUCAACUGAAGCACUCAGAAGGAAAAACAAACAGGAGUGCAUUUCCAGAUGUGGAGAGAGGAUUGCUUGGGACUCUUCGCAGGUCUUGAGAUUCCAUGUAGGCUGUGAACACUAAGGAGUGUGUGGAGCUUGUGUCUGAACUUCACCUCUCUAAUGAUGACCAUCCCUGAAAUGAAAAGAAAACCGGUGCUAAAUGGAAAUACCUUCUUUCUUUCCCUCCCACAGCUCAUGCAUAUAUCUUCUACACUCAACGAGCAUCUCUAGAGGAGGUGCCAGCUCUCUCAACAAGUAAUUCCUUUUGGCCCCAUCACAGAAGGGAAGUACAAUCAGCAGCAAUGAAGCUUCUUUAUUCCUUGCUAAUUUAGUGCCAGGACACAUGAUAUGCACAGCUUUGUGAGUGGGAGAGUUUCAAAGCAGGAAGCUUGGAUCUGACUUAGGGAGGCUGGUUAUCCACUUAUGAUACUUGACUUAGCAGAAACCAGUCCGCGUGAAAGCUGUUGUGGGGCCCCCUGCUGGCAUUGUGACAUGGAGACACUUCAUCCUCAGUGAACCUACAGUUCUCUCUGGGAAGCUUUAAGUUCAACAGGGCUGUGGACUUGAAGAGGUUCUUGCUGUAGGCUAGGAAAGUAGAUUGUAGUACUACUACUACUGCCAGUACUACCUUUUCUACUGUUUUUGGGUUUCGUGGGCCACUUUGAAACUCUAACCACAGUAUUUUCAACCUUGCAAUGGUAAAAUGCAUUGUAAAUAAAAAUUUUAACUUAAAGAAUAC